AAAUUGAAGAGUUUGAUCAUGGCUCAGAUUGAACGCUGGCGGCAGGCCUAACACAUGCAAGUCGAACGGUAACAGGAAGCAGCUUGCUGCUUUGCUGACGAGUGGCGGACGGGUGAGUAAUGUCUGGGAAACUGCCUGAUGGAGGGGGAUAACUACUGGAAACGGUGGCUAAUACCGCAUAACGUCGCAAGACCAAAGAGGGGGACCUUCGGGCCUCUUGCCAUCAGAUGUGCCCAGAUGGGAUUAGCUUGUUGGUGAGGUAACGGCUCACCAAGGCGACGAUCCCUAGCUGGUCUGAGAGGAUGACCAGCCACACUGGAACUGAGACACGGUCCAGACUCCUACGGGAGGCAGCAGUGGGGAAUAUUGCACAAUGGGCGCAAGCCUGAUGCAGCCAUGCCGCGUGUAUGAAGAAGGCCUUCGGGUUGUAAAGUACUUUCAGCGGGGAGGAAGGUGUUGUGGUUAAUAACCACAGCAAUUGACGUUACCCGCAGAAGAAGCACCGGCUAACUCCGUGCCAGCAGCCGCGGUAAUACGGAGGGUGCAAGCGUUAAUCGGAAUUACUGGGCGUAAAGCGCACGCAGGCGGUCUGUCAAGUCGGAUGUGAAAUCCCCGGGCUCAACCUGGGAACUGCAUUCGAAACUGGCAGGCUUGAGUCUUGUAGAGGGGGGUAGAAUUCCAGGUGUAGCGGUGAAAUGCGUAGAGAUCUGGAGGAAUACCGGUGGCGAAGGCGGCCCCCUGGACAAAGACUGACGCUCAGGUGCGAAAGCGUGGGGAGCAAACAGGAUUAGAUACCCUGGUAGUCCACGCCGUAAACGAUGUCUACUUGGAGGUUGUGCCCUUGAGGCGUGGCUUCCGGAGCUAACGCGUUAAGUAGACCGCCUGGGGAGUACGGCCGCAAGGUUAAAACUCAAAUGAAUUGACGGGGGCCCGCACAAGCGGUGGAGCAUGUGGUUUAAUUCGAUGCAACGCGAAGAACCUUACCUGGUCUUGACAUCCACGGAAGUUUUCAGAGAUGAGAAUGUGCCUUCGGGAACCGUGAGACAGGUGCUGCAUGGCUGUCGUCAGCUCGUGUUGUGAAAUGUUGGGUUAAGUCCCGCAACGAGCGCAACCCUUAUCCUUUGUUGCCAGCGAUUAGGUCGGGAACUCAAAGGAGACUGCCAGUGAUAAACUGGAGGAAGGUGGGGAUGACGUCAAGUCAUCAUGGCCCUUACGACCAGGGCUACACACGUGCUACAAUGGCGCAUACAAAGAGAAGCGACCUCGCGAGAGCAAGCGGACCUCAUAAAGUGCGUCGUAGUCCGGAUUGGAGUCUGCAACUCGACUCCAUGAAGUCGGAAUCGCUAGUAAUCGUGGAUCAGAAUGCCACGGUGAAUACGUUCCCGGGCCUUGUACACACCGCCCGUCACACCAUGGGAGUGGGUUGCAAAAGAAGUAGGUAGCUUAACCUUCGGGAGGGCGCUUACCACUUUGUGAUUCAUGACUGGGGUGAAGUCGUAACAAGGUAACCGUAGGGGAACCUGCGGUUGGAUCACCUCCUUACCUUAAAGAA
This 1552-nucleotide ribosomal RNA is filed under the name Salmonella enterica subsp. enterica serovar Derby. RNAcentral describes it as "bacterial SSU rRNA". It matches the Rfam family "Bacterial small subunit ribosomal RNA". Lineage: Bacteria; Pseudomonadati; Pseudomonadota; Gammaproteobacteria; Enterobacterales; Enterobacteriaceae. RNAcentral also lists the same sequence under 4 other names. The record is from RNAcentral.